This 440-nucleotide ribosomal RNA is filed under the name uncultured bacterium. Its description in RNAcentral is "partial 16S ribosomal RNA". It matches the Rfam family "Bacterial small subunit ribosomal RNA", at positions 338 to 795 of the family's 1533-position model. The record is from RNAcentral.
CCUACGGGAGGCAGCAGUAGGGAAUAUUGCUCAAUGGGGGAAACCCUGAAGCAGCAACGCCGCGUGGGGGAUGAAGGCUUUCGGAUUGUAAACCCCUUUUGUUAGGGAAGAUAAUGACGGUAUCUAACGAAUAAGCACCGGCUAACUCCGUGCCAGCAGCCGCGGUAAUACGGAGGGUGCAAGUGUUAUUCGGAAUCACUGGGCGUAAAGGGCGCGUAGGCGGGAUAGCAAGUCAGAUGUGAAAUCCUAGGGCUUAACCAUAGAACUGCAUUUGAAACUGUAAUUCUAGAGUAUGGGAGAGGUAGGUGGAAUUCUUGGUGUAGGGGUAAAAUCCGUAGAGAUCAAGAGGAAUACUCAUUGCGAAGGCGGCCUGCUAGAACGUAACUGACGCUGAUGCGCGAAAGCGUGGGGAGCAAACAGGAUUAGAUACCCGUGUAGUC